GAUCCUGGCUCAGAUUGAACGCUGGCGGCAUGCCUUACACAUGCAAGUCGAACGGUAACAGGGAGCUUGUUCCGCUGACGAGUGGCGAACGGGUGAGUAAUAUAUCGGAACGUACCAUUCAGUGGGGGAUAACGUAGCGAAAGUUACGCUAAUACCGCAUAUUCUGUGAGCAGGAAAGCAGGGGAUCGCAAGACCUUGCGCUGAUUGAGCGGCCGAUAUCAGAUUAGCUUGUUGGUGAGGUAAAAGCUCACCAAGGCGACGACCUGUAGCGGGUCUGAGAGGAUGAUCCGCCACACUGGAACUGAGACACGGUCCAGACUCCUACGGGAGGCAGCAGUGGGGAAUUUUGGACAAUGGGGGCAACCCUGAUCCAGCCAUGCCGCGUGAGUGAAGAAGGCCUUCGGGUUGUAAAGCUCUUUCAGCCGGGAAGAAAACGCAUGGGUUAAUACCCUGUGUGGAUGACGGUACCGGAAUAAGAAGCACCGGCUAACUACGUGCCAGCAGCCGCGGUAAUACGUAGGGUGCGAGCGUUAAUCGGAAUUACUGGGCGUAAAGCGUGCGCAGGCGGUUUUGUAAGACAGGCGUGAAAUCCCCGGGCUUAACCUGGGAACUGCGUUUGUGACUGCAAGGCUAGAGUACGGCAGAGGGGGGUGGAAUUCCACGUGUAGCAGUGAAAUGCGUAGAGAUGUGGAGGAACACCAAUGGCGAAGGCAGCCCCCUGGGUCGAUACUGACGCUCAUGCACGAAAGCGUGGGUAGCAAACAGGAUUAGAUACCCUGGUAGUCCACGCCCUAAACGAUGUCAACUAGGUGUUGGGAGGGUAAAACCUUUUAGUACCGGAGCUAACGCGUGAAGUUGACCGCCUGGGGAGUACGGCCGCAAGGUUAAAACUCAAAGGAAUUGACGGGGACCCGCACAAGCGGUGGAUGAUGUGGAUUAAUUCGAUGCAACGCGAAAAACCUUACCUACCCUUGACAUGCCAAGAACUUUCCAGAGAUGGAUUGGUGCCCGAAAGGGAACUUGGACACAGGUGCUGCAUGGCUGUCGUCAGCUCGUGUCGUGAGAUGUUGGGUUAAGUCCCGCAACGAGCGCAACCCUUGUCGUUAAUUGCCAUCAUUUAGUUGGGCACUUUAACGAGACUGCCGGUGACAAACCGGAGGAAGGUGGGGAUGACGUCAAGUCCUCAUGGCCCUUAUGGGUA
This 1201-nucleotide ribosomal RNA is filed under the name metagenome. RNAcentral's name for it is "bacterial SSU rRNA". It matches the Rfam family "Bacterial small subunit ribosomal RNA", at positions 15 to 1210 of the family's 1533-position model. The record is from RNAcentral.